Molecule: ribosomal RNA, 494 nt
Filed under: Pseudogymnoascus pannorum
Lineage: Eukaryota; Fungi; Ascomycota; Leotiomycetes; Thelebolales; Thelebolaceae
Description: eukaryotic LSU rRNA
Rfam family: Eukaryotic large subunit ribosomal RNA
Source: RNAcentral
GUAACGGCGAGUGAAGCGGUAACAGCUCAAAUUUGAAAUCUGGCCUCACGGUCCGAGUUGUAAUUUGUAGAGGAUGCUUCGAGCAUGGUCUGGCCUAAGUUCCUUGGAACAGGACGUCAUAGAGGGUGAGAAUCCCGUAUGCGGCCAGGUGCCUACGCUCAUGUGAAGCUCCUUCGACGAGUCGAGUUGUUUGGGAAUGCAGCUCAAAAUGGGUGGUAAAUUUCAUCUAAAGCUAAAUAUUGGCCAGAGACCGAUAGCGCACAAGUAGAGUGAUCGAAAGAUGAAAAGCACUUUGGAAAGAGAGUUAAACAGUACGUGAAAUUGUUGAAAGGGAAGCGCUUGCAACCAGACUUGCGCGCGGCCGAUCAUCCGGUGUUCUCACCGGUGCACUCGGCCGUGCUCAGGCCAGCAUCGGUUUUGGCGGCUGGAUAAAGGCCCUAGGAAUGUAGCUCCUCUCGGGGAGUGUUAUAGCCUAGGGUGCAAUGCAGCCUGCU